This 301-nucleotide ribosomal RNA is filed under the name uncultured bacterium. Its description in RNAcentral is "partial 16S ribosomal RNA". It matches the Rfam family "Bacterial small subunit ribosomal RNA", at positions 509 to 807 of the family's 1533-position model. The record is from RNAcentral.
CAGCCGCCACGGUAAUACGAAGGGGGCUAGCGUUGUUCGGAAUUACUGGGCGUAAAGGGCGCGUAGGCGGCCAUUCAAGUUAGAUGUGAAAGCCCUGGGCUCAACCUAGGAAUUGCAUUUGAUACUGUUUGGCUUGAGUUCGGGAGAGGUGAGUGGAAUUCCCAGUGUAGGGGUGAAAUUCGUAGAUAUUGGGAAGAACACCAGUGGCGAAGGCGGCUCACUGGACCGACACUGACGCUGAGGCGCGAAAGCGUGGGGAGCAAAUAGGAUUAGAGACCCCUGUAGUCCCUGUCUCUUAUAC